RNAcentral lists this ribosomal RNA (952 nucleotides) under Brachybacterium muris. Its description in RNAcentral is "bacterial SSU rRNA". It matches the Rfam family "Bacterial small subunit ribosomal RNA", at positions 33 to 999 of the family's 1533-position model. Lineage: Bacteria; Bacillati; Actinomycetota; Actinomycetes; Micrococcales; Dermabacteraceae. The record is from RNAcentral.
GAGUUUGGGGGGCUGCUACCUGCAGUCGAACGAUGACGACAGGGCUUGCUCUGUCUGAUUAGUGGCGAACGGGUGAGUAACACGUGAGUAACCUGCCCCCCUCUUCGGGAUAACCUCGGGAAAUCGGGGCUAAUACCGGAUAUGACUUCGCACCGCAUGGUGUGUUGUGGAAAGUUUUUCGGUGGGGGAUGGACUCGCGGCCUAUCAGUUUGUUGGUGAGGUAAUGGCUCACCAAGGCGAUGACGGGUAGCCGGCCUGAGAGGGCGACCGGCCACACUGGGACUGAGACACGGCCCAGACUCCUACGGGAGGCAGCAGUGGGGAAUAUUGCACAAUGGGCGAAAGCCUGAUGCAGCGACGCCGCGUGGGGGAUGACGGCCUUCGGGUUGUAAACCUCUUUCAGUAGGGAAGAAGCGAGAGUGACGGUACCUGCAGAAGAAGCGCCGGCUAACUACGUGCCAGCAGCCGCGGUAAUACGUAGGGCGCAAGCGUUGUCCGGAAUUAUUGGGCGUAAAGAGCUUGUAGGUGGCUUGUCGCGUCUGCCGUGAAAACCCGAGGCUCAACCUCGGGCGUGCGGUGGGUACGGGCAGGCUAGAGUGUGGUAGGGGAGACUGGAACUCCUGGUGUAGCGGUGAUAUGCGCAGAUAUCAGGAAGAACACCGAUGGCGAAGGCAGGUCUCUGGGCCAUUACUGACACUGAGAAGCGAAAGCAUGGGGAGCGAACAGGAUUAGAUACCCUGGUAGUCCAUGCCGUAAACGUUGGGCACUAGGUGUGGGGAACAUUCCACGUUUUCCGCGCCGUAGCUAACGCAUUAAGUGCCCCGCCUGGGGAGUACGGCCGCAAGGCUAAAACUCAAAGGAAUUGACGGGGGCCCGCACAAGCGGCGGAGCAUGCGGAUUAAUUCGAUGCAACGCGAAGAACCUUACCAGGGCUUGACUUGCACCGGACGAA